GAAAGGGGAGCCAAGGGGGAAAACCCUAACAUCCUAAAAUCAUUCAAAUUGAAAGGGGAAUCAAAGAUUUAUCGAAUGCAUGAGCCAGUAACUUUGAUUAUCUAAGUGAAUUUGAUAUCAAGUUAUGGAAGUUGGGCAAAGAAAGAAGAAGGAACAAGUCUAUCCAAGGCACAAGAAAUGCAAGACCUCGGUAAGUUCAUAUGAACUUUAUGUACUCUACUUGUAG
Molecule: long non-coding RNA, 226 nt
Filed under: Helianthus annuus (common sunflower)
Lineage: Eukaryota; Viridiplantae; Streptophyta; Magnoliopsida; Asterales; Asteraceae
Description: sRNA HanXRQr2_Chr10g0431501
Source: RNAcentral